UAGCUUCAUAGAAGCUAUUUCAGUUAGUUGGGUUGUUACCAUACGACAUAAUAUAUUUCUGUUUGAUCUGGAUUGGUAUGAGAAAUGAUCUUUUUAAAUUGAUCAUGUAUAAUUUUCAGAGUAUACUCGCUCUGGACAUAUUAUAUUAAUGAUGAUAGUUAUCGCCCGGCUAGUUGAAAUAUUAUUUGACUCUGUAUAAAUAUAACUGAAUUAUUAUUCGACUCUGUACAAAAUUUGAUACUAAAUCUGUCUCUAAGCAGAUAAAUUUUUCUCUAGUAGCACCAACCUUUUAUAUGGCAUAUCUUAUUCCAUCUCUGAUCCCUUUUAAUUUCAAUUGUGAUGCUAUUAGCUGCCAUUUCUAUUGCUUCUAUGAACAUGUAAUUCCACCGACACAGUUGAAGAUUUUUAUAGUUCCACUUAUUCAUCUUUUCCUUUUCUUAACUUGUGCAGCAUACAAUAUGUUUUGUCAUACAUCGACAACUGCAUCCAGUAUGGAGAAGAUGCUGAUGUGAAGGUCAAAGAUUUUGAUCCUCCU
RNAcentral lists this long non-coding RNA (535 nucleotides) under Phoenix dactylifera (date palm). RNAcentral's name for it is "long non-coding RNA (PDAC_LNC022301)". The record is from RNAcentral. Lineage: Eukaryota; Viridiplantae; Streptophyta; Magnoliopsida; Arecales; Arecaceae.